UUUUUACUCAUUUUACCCUAACCCGAUGAAGGUGAUGAUGGCGACGACUCCGACAACCAGAAUGGCAGCGAUGGCGUGGCGCUAGGGUUUCAGUUUGAGGGUUUUGAAACCAGGUCGUGAAGGUGUUGAGGACGUCUGCAAUCUGGUUGUCCAGAUUGGGGGUUUUGAAACACACAGCCGGAAUUAACAGUUCAUGACUCAGUCGUAGGUCACCGCCAUCACAGACCGUUCCACCGUUUCGAGUCCGCUGCUGUAUCCCAAGAUCCAACGCUGGUUUGAGCUAGAUUUCAAAGGCUCCGAUGAUUCGAAGAUCGUGCAUCAGAGCUAUAAAAACGCUACCAAUCCAUCUCCGUCGUAUGUGCUUCUUCUGCACCCUCCAAACACAAACACUCUUGUAGACUACAUGCCAAUGCUCUAAGGCUAUCCUCUGCUACCUUACCUCAUUUCUUCCCUCUUCCAGUACUUCUCUCUAGUUUUGGAUGGACUGAAGUAUGCAAAUUCACAUGAAUGAGUGAAGCAUGAAGGCUCUGUUGCUACUAUUGAUAUUACUAAACAUGCUUAGAACUGGGUUCGUGUAGGCUAGGCAACCUCUGCACUCUUUUGGCUCAUGGAAAAUUUAGAAUGAACUGAUAUACAAGCAUAACAAAGAAGAACGAAUCGCCAGGACAUAGGACAUGGGGAACCAUUGCUCCCGGAUUACCUUAUGUUGGAGAAGCAAUAACGCCAGCUGGCAACUGGCUUAUUGGUCGAGAUCCAG
RNAcentral lists this long non-coding RNA (757 nucleotides) under Helianthus annuus (common sunflower). RNAcentral describes it as "hypothetical non coding rna". The record is from RNAcentral. Lineage: Eukaryota; Viridiplantae; Streptophyta; Magnoliopsida; Asterales; Asteraceae.